Molecule: ribosomal RNA, 253 nt
Filed under: uncultured bacterium
Lineage: Bacteria
Description: partial 16S ribosomal RNA
Rfam family: Bacterial small subunit ribosomal RNA
Source: RNAcentral
UACAGAGGGGGCAAGCGUUGUUCGGAAUUACUGGGCGUAAAGGGCGCGUAGGCGGUGUCUCAAGUCAGGCGUGAAAGCCCCGGGCUCAACCUGGGAACCGCGCUUGAGACUGGCACGCUCGAGUUCGGGAGAGGAUGGUGGAAUUCCCAGUGUAGAGGUGAAAUUCGUAGAUAUUGGGAAGAACACCGAUGGCGAAGGCAGCCAUCUGGACCGACACUGACGCUGAGGCGCGAAAGCGUGGGGAGCAAACAGG